Molecule: ribosomal RNA, 253 nt
Filed under: uncultured bacterium
Lineage: Bacteria
Description: partial 16S ribosomal RNA
Rfam family: Bacterial small subunit ribosomal RNA
Source: RNAcentral
GACGUAGGGUGCAAGCGUUGUUCGGAUUCAUUGGGCGUAAAGGGUGCGUAGGUGGCGUGGUAAGUCGGGUGUGAAAUUUCGGAGCUUAACUCCGAAACUGCAUUCGAUACUGCUGUGCUUGAGGACUGGAGAGGAGACUGGAAUUUACGGUGUAGCAGUGAAAUGCGUAGAGAUCGUAAGGAAGACCAGUGGCGAAGGCGGGUCUCUGGACAGUUCCUGACACUGAGGCACGAAGGCCAGGGGAGCAAACGGG